GAUCCUGGCUCAGGACGAACGCUGGCGGCGUGCCUAACACAUGCAAGUCGAACGGAGUUACACUUAGUGCUUGCACCGAGUGCAACUUAGUGGCGGACGGGUGAGUAACGCGUGAGCAACCUGCCUUUCAGAGGGGGAUAACAACGGGAAACCGUUGCUAAUACCGCAUAAAACCGGAUGAUGGCAUCAUCGACCGGUCAAAGGAGCAAUCCGCUGAAAGAUGGGCUCGCGUCCCAUUAGGUAG
Molecule: ribosomal RNA, 244 nt
Filed under: uncultured bacterium
Lineage: Bacteria
Description: partial 16S ribosomal RNA
Rfam family: Bacterial small subunit ribosomal RNA
Source: RNAcentral